UACGUAGGGUGCGAGCGUUGCCCGGAUUUAUUGGGCGUAAAGGGCGCGUAGGCGGCUCGGCACGUCCGUUGUGAAAUCGCCCGGCUCAACUGGGCGGGGUCAGCGGAUACGGUCGAGCUUGAGCAAGCUAGGGGGCAAUGGAAUUCCCGGUGUAGUGGUGGAAUGCAUAGAUAUCGGGAGGAACACCAGUGGCGAAGGCGGUUGCCUGGAGCUUUGCUGACGCUGAGGCGCGAAAGCGUGGGGAGCGAUCCGG
RNAcentral lists this ribosomal RNA (253 nucleotides) under uncultured bacterium. RNAcentral's name for it is "partial 16S ribosomal RNA". It matches the Rfam family "Bacterial small subunit ribosomal RNA", at positions 524 to 776 of the family's 1533-position model. The record is from RNAcentral.